GUUCCUUCCGUCUCUCGGCCUGCAGCACCACUUCCAGCUCCGUGAAUUCAUCCAGACCUUUCUGCCGCCUCUGGAGAAAGAAAGCCUUGGUUUGUAACAACAUGAGGGCAGACAAGCAGAAUGUGGAAGAGUAUGACAGUAUGGACAGAUUGUGUGAUUCGCGGAGAAAGAUAAAUUAAGAGGAUAAUGGGGGUUCUGUAAGGUCACACAGGAAGACAAACUGUUUUAACUGCUUCAGAGGAAGUACAGAUUCAACUGGGGUCUUGAAUCAACACAUCCAACCCUGAUGUUCUCCAGAAGUUCCUUAUAAUGUGGAUACAGAUUAUAAAAGGCUAACCUGUAUUUAAAGGGUUACAUAAGGGUACAAAAGGUCACGUGAAGCGGUUUUGAGCAUUAAAGAGAAUGGAAUGUCCAAGUGCCCUAUUCAAACUGUGUCCAGAAGAGGACGAUGCAUGCUACAAGGUGACUUUCUGUAGCCUACUGCUGGAAAAAUCCCAGAGGCAUAAGGAGUUUACGAGCCUGUAUGAGCGUAAGGCAAUGAAAACUUGAUGACAGCUUGGAAAUGAGACAUUAUCAGGCAGGAUUUUGGCUUUCACCUUUCCUGUACUACGGACGUGUCUUGUGACUGGACACAAAGAACAAUGGAAUAAGAAGGUGAGGGAGGAAGGAGAGAGGGAGGACAGAAAGGAGGAAAGAGGAGGGAUCGUGGAGUAUGUAAGGUCAGCAGAGUCAGGUUUCCUGGUUGAGCUUAAAUCUGCUCUGUAACCAUUAACACAAGUGACUCAGGCAUCCAGCUUACUCCCACUAUUAACCACAGAGGUUACCAAAGAGGUCACAAAGGUCGAUUCCCAGGGCCUACCAGAUCUCAAUAAUGCAAUUUUUUUUUUUUUUUUUUUUUUUGUGAAAUAUUAUCAUUGUCUUGUCAGAGGUCGUUGUCAAAACUUAUAGUGGAAGCCACUUAAACUUCAGCAGUCUGUGUGUUUAUGCAAGUGUUCACACAUUGAAGUGGUUAGGGGUGUAGUAUUUUUAAUAGGUAACCUAGACCCUCAGAGUUGAAAGUGGAUAUAUACUCCUGCAGAAAUAAUGGGAUGGUUGUAUUUACACUGACCUAUACCACAGUAGGAGCUUGGAAAGGUCCUGUUUUCUCUUCAGCCAUUUAGAUCUUCUUUUUGUCCUGCUGAACAACAGAGAAAAGAAGCAAGAUCAACCUGUGCUCAGCUGAUGAGGUUAAACCUUUAAAGGGAUAGUUCACAUACUGUCAUUGUUUGCUUACCUCAUGACAUGAAACACAUAAACAGAAGUUAUGCUGUUUCACUGUUACUGGUGUGGUUACUAAAAAGCCACCAUAAAAAAUAUAGUGAAAAAUAUUUUUUUCAGUCCUACGACAUAGAAUAUUGGUGCCUCUAUAUUUUGCAACUUAUAACCAUGUAUUUCAUUAAGUGAUAUAAUCUUAAUAUUACAGUAACACUUUACAAUAAGGUUCAUUAGUUAACAUGAACUAAUAAUGAACUGCACUUAUAAAGCAUUUAUUAAUCUUUGUUAAUGUUAAUUUCAACAUUUACUAAUACAUUAUUAAAAUCUUGUUAACAUUAGUUAAUGCACUGUGAACUAACAUGAACAAACAAUGAACAACUGUAUUUUCAUUAACUAACGUUAACGAAGAUUAGUAAAUACAGUAACAAAUGUAUUGCUCAUGGUUAGUUCAUGUUAGAUAAUACAUUAACUAAUGUUUAACUAAUGAGCCUUAUUGUAAAGUGUUACCAAUAUUUCUAUCUACUUGAACUGCCAAUAUCUUUUUUGCUUUUUACCUUAAAAUUUACUGAUAAGCACCAUAAUACAAGAAGUAAAACAGAAAGCCACAUGAUAAAUUCAACGUAAGCGGCCUGUUCAUAAAGGGACAUAAACACAAAGAUAACAUCAGGGUAAGGCACAUGUACAUUACUGAUAACAGAUAAGAAACAAAACUAUUUAAAAAUAUAUAAAUAUAGUCAUGUUCUGUGUCACGCAAGGGUUUCUAGGAAUGACUUUCAUAAAUUUUUACAGUGUACAGACUUGGAGCUGUGCUCUAUUUUUUUAUGAACUAACAAUGACCAAUUAUUAUUAAUCUAUUUUUAAUUAAUUUAUUCAUUGCAUCUAGUGUGGAAGUUGCAUGUGAAAUUUCGGUACAAUGGCGGAUACAAUGAAAGUUGUACGCAUACAAUGACAAUAAAGAAAUUCAGUUCAAUUCAAUUUCUAAAAAAACAUUAAACUAUAUUAAUAAAUAACUAUCUUUUUUUUUUUUUCAUGAUACCUAAUGCACUAAAUGCUAACAAUCCUCUUUUGCAAAAUGGUAAAUGUUUAAAUAUUUCUGUUUUAUUUUAUUUUAUAUUAUGAUGUUAUUGUUGGUGGGGUUGGUUAAUUGGCAUAGCUGCACAUGCUUUUAGUCAUGAAUUACUUGAGAUAUAUUUUAUGACACUAAAUAUAUCUUCUUCUUUUCUUUUCUUUUUUUUUAACCCAUUAACUUACUGCACGUAUAAAAACAGUAAAUACGAGGUGGCGUGAAUGCAGCAUAAGCCCUCAUGUUUGCCAUGUGUCUUGGUCAUGCAUUUUAUGUUUUGAGACUCCAGAGACACCAGCAGCUUUAAAUACCUGUUUGCUGCUCAACAUUGGCCUUUUUAUAGUCCUUUUAAUGCAAAUUUAUUUUUGACAGAAACUUUCCUUAAUAAGCCUUUAUCUGACUAUCUGAGUUCUCAUGUGUUGUAAAUUACUCACAAAUCUUAUGAUAGUUCGAUAAUCUCCAUUCAGUUUUCACACAAUAUUAGUUGUUUUCCUGCCUUUUGCACAACAUUGCACCAUUUCAUGCUUUUCAUCUUUAGAAAGAUUUUUCUUCCUCACCAUAUUGCAUAAGAACUGUGACUUGCUUAAUAAUGAGAAACAACCUCUUUAAAUAUGGUUUCCAUUUACCCAAGUAGACUUGGCAAACUAUUCAACAAACCUGUCUGGGAUUGAUACCAGUUAUCUAAAAAUAUAUGGAAAAUAAAACAAACAAACACUUUCUUUGACAAAGUAAAAUCUGAAUGUUUAUUGUACUGAAAUCCUACUGAUAUGUCACUUGCAUAAUAAUUUGAAACACAGUGUAUACUCAUCCUCAACUCACCCCCAUUAUCUUGUCUCGUUUGAGUAUGACCCGCAUGCUUUGCAUGCAACCCUCUUCUUUUUCUAAGAGAUCUGCAAGGAAAGAUUAUUAUUGAAGGUGUUAUUCGAAGCUUCAUGUUACUUUGAUACUCUCCUUCUUCAUCGACAUCCUUUGUAUCUGAUUGUAAUAAAAUGCAUUCACUACAACUUCCUCCAUCAUCUUGUUCAUCACAUGGCAAUUAUGAAGUUCAUGACAUAAUAAAAAGAAAGACAUAGUGUUCCUUUCUAUGUCUUUUUUUUUAAAAAUCCAUUUAAAACCUGCAUUUCAAUUUACAGUACACAAAAGCAAAUACUAAUGUUAACCUAACCUCUUCUGGAACAUCCUCUUGCUUCAUCUGCUUGUUAGUAAACCCUCACAGUCGCCAUUUUUUUCAACGCUUUUAUCGGAUUUAGCAUCUGUUUAUUUUCUGCUGCUCUUAAAUGUGGCGUCUCAUCAAAUUUAUCCCAUAAUUACAGCUGAGCGCAGGUUCCAAAACCCAUCACCAUUCUAACAAAGUUUUAUUCUCGCUCCUGCAAACAACCAUAAUUACAACAUUGCCAUUCAAGCAGAAUUGGCUAUUGAUAGUGCAUGUAUGUAAUCCCGCAUAAUUAAAACUCACAAAGAAAGAAGUCGGAAGAAAACGGCAGAGCAGCCUGAAUGAAAGUGUGGCCUGACCUGCUGACCCCUCUGCAGUGGUGUGUUCCUGUAGAUGUGCACAGUAAGUCACGGACGAUGUUGGCUGUCCCCGAAGAGAAGGCUUGACUUGGGUACAGCCAUGACAUUUUGUGAUGCUUGGCUCCAUGCCUCAAGUCAGCAGCUGCCAUAAAUAAACAGUGUUGAGAGCCACUGGCUUACACCCAACCACGUCUACAGUAGAAGGAAGUUGAAGGACUGCUGGACAGAUUCUGGCUCUGAUGACCCUCUCCUUAACCCCAUUCACUUAAACAUACAGGGCUGAGUGAGAGCAAAAGGAGGCGAAAUUAUAUAUGUGUAUAUAUAUUUAUUAUAGGUAACACUUUACAAUAAGGUUCAUUAGUUAACUACAUUAGUUAACAUGAACUAAUAAUGAACUGCACCUCUAUGGCAUUUAUUAACCUUUUUUAAUGUUAAUUUCAACAUUUACUAAUACAUUAUUAAAAUCUUGUUAACAUUAGUUAAUGCACUGUGAACUAACAUGAACAAACAAUGAACAACUGUAUUUUCAUUAACUAACAUUAACGAACAUUAGUAAAUACAGUAACAAAUGUACUGCUCAUGGUUAGUCCAUGUUUGUUAAUACAUUAACUAAUGUUUAACUAAUGAACCUUAUUGUAAAGUGUUACAUUAUUAUAUUUCAUAAAAGGCCCUGGUCUCUGACAAAACAUACAAAUGCAAAGACCACAGUAAAUAAUGUUUACAAUCUUCUGCAAUCUAGGCUACUUCAUGUUUUACAUGCUAAUUCAACACAAAGAGGCAUGUGUUUGUCUCGGGCACGAUCUCAAUCCCAACACCCUUAUCCAAGCUAUAAUUGUCUCACUCAUUAAGAAAGACACACCCAGGCCAAGCAUAAACACACAUCAGUGUUUCCUGCACCUCCUUUCAGCAGCAGGGGAUCUUCAGCACAGUAAAAGAAAAAUCAUAUUUCAGAAUUUGAGUGUGCCAUCUUUAUUGGAUGUAAUGCAAAACAAAGACUGUGUACCAUGCUAAAAUGGCAGAACUUUUCUACCGAGUUGUCCUUGUGGGCUCCACGCAAAAACAUACAGCAUGAUAAGUGUUGUCUGAUUCAUGAACAAAUGACUCUUGAGCUGGUGUUUUUUAGCAAAUCAAAAACAUAGUGUGACAAGAGUAGUCUGAUUCCUAAAUGAAUGACUCUUGUGAGUUGGUUCUUUUAAUGAAUAAUUUAAAAAGAUGAGUUGUCUGCUUGAAUCAGUCGGACAAAUCCUUGACUGAACUGAAUUAACAUCUGACACUAUUAAUGAACUAAAAGCUAUAUUGUUACUUUUAGUGAUGUCUGCUUUGAAAUAUACAGUAAUUAUACAUUGCAAUUUUUUUUAAAAUGUAUGUUAUGCUCACCAAAAAUGCAGAUUUGAGCUUUGAAAUAUUAUAUAUACACACAAAGAAAUGCAAAAACAUAAUUCUGUAGGAAUUACAGCACUGUUUUUGCAUACACUCUCAUAGCUCAAAAAGCAGUAGAAGAUGUAUUUAUGUAUUUAUAAACACCUACAAAUACAUCUGUGCACAUUAACAUAUACACACAGAGAUCAGAUGUAAUCUGGCCACAUCCACUGGAGAAAUAAGUCACUUGUUCAAGCAAAGCUGAAAACAGAUGGAAAAGGGAUGAAGAAGUAAACAGCCGUCAUGAGUGUUGCACAAUGCAGAAAAAAAAAACAAAAAAACAAGCAGACCAUGGGAAAAACCUUUGCUUUAUUAGUUCAACACAUUUUCCCAAAGAAUUCAGCAUGUUUUAAGGCUUCAAGUGUUUGAGAGAGUAUUUUGAACUUCUACAACAACCAUUCAAAAAUGCAUUGGAGAUAGAAUUUUAAACAGUCAGCAAAAGUAUUUUUGGCCCCACUUUAUAUUACGUGGCCUUAACUACUAUGUACUUAGGCUACAUCAAAAAAAUAAGUACAAUGUACUUAUUGUGUUCAUGUUGUAUUGAAAAACACUUUUCAGCUAUUGAGGUGGGAUACGGGUACGGUUAGUGACAGGUUUGGUGGUAUGGGUAGGGUUAGUUGGGUCAACAGUGUAAUUAUUACAGAAGUUAAUUACAGAUGUAAUUACAUGCAGGUAUUUUUUAAAAUAUAAGUAUGUACUAAACACUAAAACAUGUAUGUACUAAACUCACGGCAAUUCGUAUGUAUUUUACGAGGUGGCUAAUUCAUACGAAUUUGUACGAGCUCACUCGUACGAAUUUGUACGUUUUUUGCUAAAUCGUACUAAUUAUACGAGUUGCCAAAUUUGCCCCUAAACCUACCCAUUACUGGGGUUUACACAAAUCAUAUGAAUUUGCACUAGUGAGGUCGUACGAGUUUGUACGAAUUGGCCACCUCGUACAUACGAGUUGGUCGUGACUCGUGAGAUAGCGUUGGUAUGUACAUAAGUGCAUUGUAUCAAAUCAUUAUUUUAAAUGUAAGUACAUAGUAGUUAAGGCCACCUAAUAUAAAGUGGGACUGUGUUAUUAGAAUGGUUAUGUAAUGUAAACUGUUACGUUUGCUAUAUAAGUGUUGAGUGAUACUCAAAGUGUUCACUACUGUUAACUUCAUGCAGUUUUUAUUACAUGGUUGCAUAACAUAAAUGUAUGUGCUGCUUAUUUAUAAUACACAACAAUAUAAAAAUGUUUUUGUCCCUUUUUGUUGGAUAUUUUAUAUUUUAAAAUGAUUACAAAUUAUUUGUAAACAUGGAAAUAACAGAAAUAACUGCAAAAUAUGAGAACAUGGCAGCCCAUGCUGACUUACAAACAGAGCAAAACAAUAAUUUGUAAACUGUAAAGCUAAUAAAAAAUUGGAGUAUG
This is a long non-coding RNA of Ctenopharyngodon idella (grass carp), 6644 nucleotides long. RefSeq lists it as uncharacterized. The record is from RefSeq and is a predicted model, not a curated record. The transcript is spliced from 6 exons. NCBI's taxonomy places the organism in Eukaryota, Metazoa, Chordata, Actinopteri, Cypriniformes, Xenocyprididae.